This is a long non-coding RNA of Ipomoea nil (Japanese morning glory), 1916 nucleotides long. RefSeq lists it as uncharacterized. The record is from RefSeq and is a predicted model, not a curated record. Lineage: Eukaryota; Viridiplantae; Streptophyta; Magnoliopsida; Solanales; Convolvulaceae. The transcript is spliced from 13 exons.
AUCAAAAUCGAGUCUCAGAUCUAUCUUCGAUCCACCGCUCUCUUCUCUCUGAGCCCUCUCUCUCUCUCUCUCAAAAUCCCUCCCUUCUUUCUGGGACGCGACGGAGAUGGAGAGAGCUCCGCUCAAACGCUCCGACGCGACGGAGGUCGUCAACCGCUCAAACGCUCUCCAAAAGCUCCGCUGCGGCCUGGGGAUGACGGCAACGACGUUCCACCUUCAGAUCUCUCUCAAAGGCUCAUAGGUAACGAUAUAUUUUUUCUUUUCUUUUGCUUUUUCCUUAAAAUAGAUCUCAGAUAUCUUCUCCGCCGGAAUCGCACCCACCGUUGGCGAGGACUUCAAGCCAACGGCGGCGAGCAUGUAAAUGACCUAGUUGAUUAUUUUUUGUUCUGCAAAUGGAUGUUCUUGUGUGGCUGUGAAUGGAGAUCUUUUAGCUCAAGGUUCACAAGUGGAAAUGGAAUAGCGAGAAUGAGCUAAGAAGCAUUGUCUGGAAGGAGAUAUUAUUGGCUGGAUUCCUUGACCAAUCUUAGCCAUGGGCUUACUAUUACUGCUAAUGUGCUUACUUUUUCCCAGGAAAGUGGGAACCAAGACUCUUGAAUGGCAAAAUGGGGUAUGGGGAUCACUACCAGCAAGAUGCAGAACCAAAAUAUGAGUGCCAUCUUUUUGUAUGGAGAUAAGCUUGCUGCUUGCUAUUUGAGAACUGCCAUAAGCGCAUGGCAUACAUAAACCUGUCAUGGUAUAACAUGGGGUCCAACAAACAAAUACUUUGUCAACUGUCAAUGCUUGAAAGAAAAAUGGCUCAAGGUAUCUGGCCACAGCAUCUUCUGAUCAUACUGUCAAGAUAUGGAAUGUGGAUGGAUUUACCUUGGAGAAAACUCUCAUAGCUUCUUCCGACACAACAGCGAGAUUAUGGUCCAUGUCUACUGGCAAAGAUAUCAAAGUAUACCAGGGACAUCACAAGGCAGCUGUGUGUUGCGCUCUCCAUGACGGGCCCGAACCCUCUACCCGAUUCUGCAGUAAGCUAGCUAGCUAGCUCAUCCAUCAAUUAUAGAUCAUUUGGUAAACUUGCAGCCAUUACUGACUGGAUGGCUGUGAAAAGGGCAAUAUAAUGUGGUAAUGUUCAGGAUGAUAUUGAAAAGGUCAAUGAUUUGAACCCUGAGGUCUGGUUGUGAGUACAUGUUUAGCAGGUGCAUUUGUUGGCUCCGUAUUUAGUGGUUGGAUAGCAGAUGGGGUUGGUCGGCGCAGAGCAUUUCAACUGUUUGCUCUACCUUAUGCUCUUGGAUUAUGCCAGAAUCAGGCUGCUGCAUUUUGGAAAUGUAUAAACAUCGCGGAAGCUAUGAUGAAGCUGAUGACCCUGGUGCCUUAGCUGCAGUUGGUUGUUUGCGUGCCAUAAGCACAAUCAUUGAGUCAGUGAGUCGGCUUCCACAUCUUUUUGAACAGAUUGAGCCAACACUUUUCCUUAUCAUGCGUAGGAUGCUUACGUCUGACGGACAAGAUGUCUAUGAAGAGGUUCUGGAGAUUGUUUCUUAUAUGACAUUUUACUCGCCAAAAAUAUCAAUGAACAUGUGGAGUCUCUGGCCAUUAAUGAUGGAGGCCCUUGCAGACUGGACUAUUGAUUAUUUCCCAAACAUAUUGGUUCCAUUGGACAACUAUAUAUCGAGGAGCACUGAACAUUUCCUUACUUGCCAGGAACCAGACUACCAGCAAAGCCUUUGGAACAUGUAUGAGGAGCACUGAACAUUUCCUUAGGCGAGCUCGUUUCUGCUAUUAGUUCUUUUCCAAUGCUCAAGAAAAUAUAUUUUUUGGCAGGUUUACCUCUUGUAGACAAAAUUCAUAUGUUUUGAUGAUAUUAUUGUAUUAAAGUAUGAGGAUUUUAAAUAUUAUUGUGUUUUGAUGAUAGUAUUUGCAUUGUGUUAAAA